UGGCUCAGAACGAACGCUGGCGGCGUGCUUAACACAUGCAAGUCGAGCGGAAAGGCCCUUCGGGGUACUCGAGCGGCGAACGGGUGAGUAACACGUGAGCAAUCUGCCCUUAGCUUCGGGAUAGCUCCGGGAAACCGGAAUUAAUACCGAAUACGACCACGGCCGACAUCAGCUGUGGUGGAAAGUUUUUCGGCUAGGGAUGAGCUCGCGGCCUAUCAGCUUGUUGGUGGGGUAACGGCCUACCAGGGAGACGACGGGUAGCCGGCCUGAGAGGGCGACCGGCCACACUGUGUCUGAGACACGGGACGGACUCCUACG
RNAcentral lists this ribosomal RNA (318 nucleotides) under uncultured Actinomycetales bacterium. Its description in RNAcentral is "bacterial SSU rRNA". It matches the Rfam family "Bacterial small subunit ribosomal RNA", at positions 20 to 343 of the family's 1533-position model. The record is from RNAcentral. Lineage: Bacteria; Bacillati; Actinomycetota; Actinomycetes; Actinomycetales.